GACGAACGCUGGCGGCGUGCUUAACACAUGCAAGUCGAGCGGUAAGGCCCUUUCGGGGGUACACGAGCGGCGAACGGGUGAGUAACACGUGGGUGACCUGCCCUCAGCUCUGGGAUAAGCCUGGGAAACCGGGUCUAAUACUGGAUAUGACUCCAUGACGCAUGUUGUGGGGUGGAAAGCCUUGUGCGGCUGAGGAUGGGCCCGCGGCCUAUCAGCUUGUUGGUGGGGUGANGGCCUACCAAGGCGACGACGGGUAGCCGGCCUGAGAGGGCGACCGGCCACACUGGGACUGAGACACGGCCCAGACUCCUACGGGAGGCAGCAGUGGGGAAUCUUGCGCAAUGGGCGAAAGCCUGACGCAGCGACGCCGCGUGAGGGAUGACGGCCUGGUU
This 392-nucleotide ribosomal RNA is filed under the name uncultured bacterium. Its description in RNAcentral is "bacterial SSU rRNA". It matches the Rfam family "Bacterial small subunit ribosomal RNA", at positions 28 to 424 of the family's 1533-position model. The record is from RNAcentral.